GAUGAACGCUGGCGGCGUGCCUAAUACAUGCAAGUCGAGCGAACGGACGAGAAGCUUGCUUCUCUGAUGUUAGCGGCGGACGGGUGAGUAACACGUGGAUAACCUACCUAUAAGACUGGGAUAACUUCGGGAAACCGGAGCUAAUACCGGAUGAUAUUUUGAACCGCAUGGUUCAAAAGUGAAAGACGGUCUUGCUGUCACUUAUAGAUGGAUCCGCGCUGCAUUAGCUAGUUGGUAAGGUAACGGCUUACCAAGGCAACGUUGCAUAGCCGACCUGAGAGGGUGAUCGGCCACACGUGAACUGAGACACGGUCCAGACUCCUACGGGGGGCAGCAGUAGGGAAUCUGCCGCAAUGGGCGAAAGCCUGACGGAGCAACGCCGCGUGAGUGAUGAAGGUCUUCGGAUCGUAAAACUCUGUUAUUAGGGAAGAACAUAUGUGUAGGUAACUGUGCACAUCUUGACGGUACCUAAUCAGAAAGCCACGGCUAACUACGU
RNAcentral lists this ribosomal RNA (496 nucleotides) under uncultured bacterium. Its description in RNAcentral is "partial 16S ribosomal RNA". It matches the Rfam family "Bacterial small subunit ribosomal RNA", at positions 28 to 506 of the family's 1533-position model. The record is from RNAcentral.